GUUCAUACAGUGAACUGAGUGGUGACAUCUGUUUUUUUAGGCUUCUGAAAUCAGACAGAAUGAAGUACUUUGUCAGGAAGAAUUUGGCUCCGUACUGCUGUAAGGUCCACAUUACUGAGCUUCAACAACAUCUUGGCCUCAUCUUCUGUUACGUGGACCACAUCGGGUCCCCUGUGGUGAAGAGAAAAUGCAAAGAAUUGUGGAAAAUGUUUGGGUUGAAAAGUUCUCAGAGUUCUAGACUUUAAAAAAAUGUUUCUAAUGAGUGUUACUAAAAAAAAUAUAUUUAAUUAACGUUAAAAAAAUAU
Molecule: long non-coding RNA, 305 nt
Filed under: Parus major (Great Tit)
Lineage: Eukaryota; Metazoa; Chordata; Aves; Passeriformes; Paridae
Description: lncRNA (ENSPMJG00000013156.1)
Source: RNAcentral